This 29-nucleotide non-coding RNA is filed under the name Homo sapiens (human). Lineage: Eukaryota; Metazoa; Chordata; Mammalia; Primates; Hominidae. The record is from RNAcentral.
UCUCGCUCACUGAUGGUGUCUGUUUGUUU